AAUAGUUUCUUUGGUGGUGACCUACUACAUGGAUAACCGUAGUAAUUCUAGAGCUAAUAUAUGCGUAAAUCUCGACUCACGAAGAGACGUAUUUAUUAGAUAAAGACCGACCUCGUUCUGCGGUGAAUCAUAAUAACUUCACGGACCGCAUGGCUUUAUGCCGGCGGUGUUCCAUUCAAAUUUCUGCCCUAUCAACUUUCGACGGUAGGAUAGAGGCCUACCGUGGUGUUCACGGGUGACGGAGAAUUAGGGUUCGAUUCCGGAGAGGGAGCCUGAGAAACGGCUACCACA
RNAcentral lists this ribosomal RNA (291 nucleotides) under uncultured eukaryote. RNAcentral's name for it is "partial 18S rRNA". It matches the Rfam family "Eukaryotic small subunit ribosomal RNA", at positions 111 to 414 of the family's 1831-position model. The record is from RNAcentral.